RNAcentral lists this long non-coding RNA (648 nucleotides) under Homo sapiens (human). RNAcentral's name for it is "long non-coding RNA NONHSAT104459.2". Lineage: Eukaryota; Metazoa; Chordata; Mammalia; Primates; Hominidae. The record is from RNAcentral.
AGGGACAGCUCAGAACUCCCAUGUUUCCUCAAAAGGUUCCCUCCUGCUGCUCACCUGAGCUGCCUGUCCCAGCACACAGCCACCAUCACCAGCAGGUUCCCCAAGAUGGCCAUCAGGAUAACCGUCGAGAGAAACGUGAGCAGCACCACCUUCUCCACUGACCCGAAACCCUCCUCAGAACUGAAAGACACACACAAGCACAAAGAAUUGAAUGAAACUCUGGGACACAAGAAGGAAAAUUCGUCUUUUCAUCAUUGACCUUCAGAAAGGUUUCUUGAGAGACUAAACAUACAAAUGGACAAUGGCCAGACCAUGUGUAACAAUAAAACUCCGAUGGACAAUCUCUGGCAGCCAGCCCAGAACGAUCAGGACUUGUUCAAUGACUGCGAGCUAGCUUCCCCCUUUUUUAACCCUCUUACCUGCUUCCAACUCAAGACUAACAACAGAAUGCCAAAGACACUGCUCCCCAAAGCAAUUACGUAAGAUGCCUCACUGCUUGUUAGUGCACCUCCUGCUUCAAUGUGCCAACAACCUCCAAUCAGAAGAUAGCAGAAGCCUUCUUUUCCCCGCUUAUAAAGCUUUUUUACUCCCCUGCCUGUCUUUGAGACUUUGCUAAAUUCCAAGGAUGGUGGCUGAUCCUCUUGCUUU